AUCCUCUUUUAAGGGAUGCUGAUGAUUACCAUGGACCCGCCAGACGAGCCGGGAUUGUCUCUGACUUCAGAACUUAACCACAUCUGCAGAGUCCCUUUGGCCAGGUUUAUCCCCAGGCUGGAAUCACCAAUCCUACGGUCACCCCACGGUUCACAUAUUAAGAAAACUUUGUUCUUCUGAGAACAGCCCUGUGAGGGACCAUGGUGGUUCAGUGGCAUCUGUGGAGAGCCCGGGCUGUACCCCAGGUGGCCUGGCUGGAGGACCACAUUGGAGAGGAUAGUGGGGUGGACCGUGCUGACCACACAUGGGGAGUGACAAGGACCAUGACGAGGACAAGCGGAGUUAGAAUGAUAACAAUGAGGACAUUGCCAUUCCUGUCUUGUGUGACAACAGGGACCCCGGACCACAUCACACGGAGUCAACACGAGGUGUCCUGUGUCCUGGCAGACUGCUCGCCCCCACAGAGAAAGUGACUCACGGACCACUUGGGUCUUCGGCUUUUAAAAUUAUGAUUCAAUUUAUCAAAAU
Molecule: long non-coding RNA, 528 nt
Organism: Herpailurus yagouaroundi (jaguarundi)
Lineage: Eukaryota; Metazoa; Chordata; Mammalia; Carnivora; Felidae
Exons: 3
Source: RefSeq, a predicted model, not a curated record